GACGAACGCUGGCGGCGUGCUUAACACAUGCAAGUCGAACGGAAAGGCCUCUUUCGGGGGGUACUCGAGUGGCGAACGGGUGAGUAACACGUGAGUAACCUGCCCUUGACUUUGGGAUAACUUCAGGAAACUGGGGCUAAUACCGGAUAGGAGCUCCUGCUGCAUGGUGGGGGUUGGAAAGUUUCGGCGAUUGGGGAUGGACUCGCGGCUUAUCAGCUUGUUGGUGGGGUAGUGGCUUACCAAGGCUUUGACGGGUAGCCGGCCUGAGAGGGUGACCGGCCACAUUGGGACUGAGAUACGGCCCAGACUCCUACGGGAGGCAGCAGUGGGGAAUAUUGCACAAUGGGUGGAAGCCUGAUGCAGCAACGCCGUGUGCGGGAUGACGGCCUUCGGGUUGUAAACCGCUUUCGCUCAUGACGAAGCUUUGUGUGACGGUAGUGGGUAAAGAAGCACCGGCUAACUACGUG
Molecule: ribosomal RNA, 467 nt
Filed under: uncultured bacterium
Lineage: Bacteria
Description: partial 16S ribosomal RNA
Rfam family: Bacterial small subunit ribosomal RNA
Source: RNAcentral